UAGGGAAUCUUCCACAAUGGACGAAAGUCUGAUGGAGCAACGCCGCGUGAGUGAAGAAGGUUUUCGGAUCGUAAAGCUCUGUUGUUGGUGAAGAAGGAUAGAGGCAGUAACUGGUCUUUAUUUGACGGUAAUCAACCAGAAAGUCACGGCUAACUACGUGCCAGCAGCCGCGGUAAUACGUAGGUGGCAAGUGUUGUCCGGAUUUAUUGGGCGUAAAGCGAGCGCAGGCGGAAUGAUAAGUCUGAUGUGAAAACCCACGGCUCAACCGUGGAACUGCAUCGGAAACUGUCAUUCUUGAGUGCAGAAGAGGAGAGUGGAACUCCAUGUGUAGCGGUGGAAUGCGUAGAUAUAUGGAAGAACACCAGUGGCGAAGGCGGCUCUCUGGUUUGCAACUGACGCUGAGGCUCGAAAGCAUGGGUAGCGAACAGGAUUAGAUACCCUGGUAGUCCAUGCCGUAAACGAUGAGCGCUAGGUGUUGGGGACUUUCCGGUCCUCAGUGCCGCAGCAAACGCAUUAAGCGCUCCGCCUGGGGAGUACGACCGCAAGGUUGAAAC
RNAcentral lists this ribosomal RNA (554 nucleotides) under uncultured bacterium. Its description in RNAcentral is "partial 16S ribosomal RNA". It matches the Rfam family "Bacterial small subunit ribosomal RNA", at positions 355 to 900 of the family's 1533-position model. The record is from RNAcentral.